CUACAUGCAAGUCGUGGGGCAGCAUGGGGUAGCAAUACUCUGAUGGCGACCGGCAAACGGGUGCGGAACACGUACGCAACCUUCCCAAAACUGGUGAAUAGCCCUCCGAAAGGAGGAUUAAUACACCGUAACAUAACGAAGUGGCAUCACUUUGUUAUUAUAGCUCCGGCGGUUUUGGAUGGGCGUGCGCCUGAUUAGGUAGUUGGCGGGGUAACGGCCCACCAAGCCUACGAUCAGUAACUGGUGUGAGAGCACGACCAGUCACACGGGCACUGAGACACGGGCCCGACUCCUACGGGAGGCAGCAGUAAGGAAUAUUGGUCAAUGGACGCAAGUCUGAACCAGCCAUGCCGCGUGAAGGAUGAAGGUCCUCUGGAUUGUAAACUUCUUUUAUCUGGCACGAAAAAAGGGCUUUCUAGCUCACUUGACGGUACCAGAGGAAUAAGCACCGGCUAACUCCGUGCCAGCAGCCGCGGUAAUACGGAGGGUGCGAGCGUUAUCCGGAUUUACUGGGUUUAAAGGGUGCGUAGGUGGGCAGGUAAGUCAGUGGUGAAGUCUUCGAGCUUAACUCGGAAACUGCCAUUGAUACUAUCUGUCUUGAAUGCCCUGGAGGUAAGCGGAAUAUGUCAUGUAGCGGUGAAAUGCUUAGAUAUGACAUAGAACACCAAUUGCGAAGGCAGCUUACUACGGGGUGAUAGACACUGAGGCACGAAAGCGUGGGGAUCAAACAGGAUUAGAUUCCCUGGUAGUCCACGCCCUAACGAUGGAUACUCGACAUACGCGAUACACUGUGUGUGUCUGAGCGAAAGCAUUAAGUAUCCCACCUGGAAGUACGACGCAGGUGAACUCAAGAUUGACGGGGUCCGCACAAGCGGUGGAGCAUGUGUUUAAUUCGAUGAUACGCGAGAACCUA
Molecule: ribosomal RNA, 913 nt
Filed under: uncultured Bacteroidota bacterium
Lineage: Bacteria; Pseudomonadati; Bacteroidota
Description: bacterial SSU rRNA
Rfam family: Bacterial small subunit ribosomal RNA
Source: RNAcentral